AGAAAAGAGAAAUUUGGUUUGAAAUGAAAUUUGAGUCUUGAGAGAGGGCUGAUAUGAAGGAGAAUCAAACAAGCCACAUGGGAGCAUCUGAAGGCCUGGAGAUAAGGGCCUGUUGCAUGGCUGUGAAAAUUUGGCCUUUAAAAUAACUAGGCAUGGGCCAGAAAUCACAGCCGGCGGCUGCGACCACCCAAGGCAGGAGAUCCAGCGGGGGACUAUGGAGCUCAGUGGAGCUGCGGCCUGGGAGAAGCCCACCCAAGAGAACCAUGUAACUAGAAACCAUCACAUUCGGCUUCGUGUGAGGGAGAAGCAGGUGUUUCAUUGCACGCAGUUACUGAGAUCUGGGGUUGUUUGUUAUUGCAGCAAGGACCCACCCUAACACACGAGGUGUUAUAUGCAUUUUACAGAUUGCCAAGAUGGUACAGACAGCAGAAGUGGCAAAACAACACUUAAACUCAAACCUGCCCAACUUCAAAGUCCACGCCCUUCCCUGGGCUUCAGACUGCCGUCUUUGAUGCUAUCUUUCAUUGAGAUGUUGUUUGCAUUAAAUGGGGGAUCUUGCGGCACACGGUGGACCUUGCCCAGCACCCACUCUUCCUAGGGCCAGCCUUACUCUGUGGGGUCAGCCUUUGACCGUCUGGGCCAUGAAGGUGGCUGAUGAGGCCCCUUCGACAGCCAAGUUGGGGCACAAUCUCCUCCGGAUGUUGUUAUUCCUUCACAGUCUCAUCGCAGGCGGGGAGGAAGUCAGAGGGCUGAUUUAGAGGACAGAGAUACAAACAGAGUGAGCAGAGGAUGUUUGGCUGCAGUUGCUCCAGAGUUUCAAGGGAGAAAACACAAGCAUUGCUGAGCGGCCAUUAGGGGCUUGCACGCUCAGCUGGGCACAUGUCCACACCGAGGCAUCACGUGCGGUCUGAGCUGAGCUCUCAUCUCUGGGUUUCAGGACUUUCAGCACAGUCCUGGCCCUUCACGUUUAGUCUGGGUGAUCAGGGAUGUAAACCAGCAAUUGCAAGGUGGUGAAGCACCACCGUGGAAGGGCACCAGCCGGGCCCUGGGGUCACAGAAGUGCCCCAGGAAGUGUGGCCGUUAAGCCUGGUGAGAGGAGAGCGAGCCGGGAGGACGGUGAGAGACAGGCAUGACGGGGCGGUGAGUGUGACUGCUGCUGAGCAUGUCUGAGACGGCAGGCAGUCACCAAAGGCUUGUAAGCAGAGGCAACACCCUGACUUGUGGUUUGGAGAGAUCAUGGUGACUGCCGUGCAGGGACGGAAUGGAGGCUGCUCCAGUGACUCUGGCCGUGGGCAGUGGUGGGCGGGUGAGGGGACAGAGGAAAGUGGAUGGAGUUGCUGCCCCCACAACCCUGCUGAGAAAGUGCCCACGGGACCUGGCGGGGUGUGAGUCACACUUGGGCUGCUCUGCCUGGCUCUGCACCUAUUUCGUGAGCUGGAAGGGACAGCCUGAGCCCCGUCCCUUGGAUGGACAUCAAUGCAGGAGUAAGGGUCUGUCUCUGAAGCUCUCUGAGCAACGGAAGGGAAGCUCCCCAUUUCCGGCAUCUCGGCUUGGCAGGACCCCUCCAGGACCUCACUCCUCUGAGACGCACUGCAGACCUCACAGGUGACAGCAGCGUUUUGCUGACUCAGAGGCAACUACCACGAUGACCCUCCAGCCCGUGUCCAGACCUGGGGCAGCGACUUGGACAGGGGGCUGCAGAAGUGGGUCUGUGAGGGGGACCUGACGGGGGGCUGCAGAAGUGGGUCUGUGAGGCGGACCUGGGGGGGCAGCCCUGGGGUGGGCUCACUGGGGUUCACUCCACCUCGAAGACUUCAAUUCCAGCUCUGGCUGGUUUUGUUGGAUUAGGAACACACAGCCAGCCAAAUCUUGGUUACUAGGGUGCCAGAGAUCACGUGGAGAAAUGAAAUAAAGAGAGAACCCCCAAACGGUGGUGCUGCCAUGCAUUGGAGCCUCUCGCCCCAACAGCAUUCUUACUUUAUUUAUUUAUUUCUCAUCCACAUUUUGCUGGAAGAUUUUGCGCAUUCAUAAUGGCAAACAGAAUAUGGCGAUAAGCUUCUGUGUACACUAUCAUCAACAGCUUUCAAUUCCUAAUUAACCUUAUUUUAUCAAUAUUCCCCAUAAUCCCCCAUGCUGUUUCUUG
Molecule: long non-coding RNA, 2143 nt
Filed under: Homo sapiens (human)
Lineage: Eukaryota; Metazoa; Chordata; Mammalia; Primates; Hominidae
Description: HSALNT0158204
Source: RNAcentral